RNAcentral lists this ribosomal RNA (439 nucleotides) under uncultured bacterium. RNAcentral's name for it is "partial 16S ribosomal RNA". It matches the Rfam family "Bacterial small subunit ribosomal RNA", at positions 338 to 795 of the family's 1533-position model. The record is from RNAcentral.
CCUACGGGAGGCAGCAGUAGGGAAUUUUGCGCAAUGGGCGAAAGCCUGACGCAGCAACGCCGCGUGAUCGAGACGCCCUUCGGGGUGUAAAGAUCUGUCAGUGGGGACGAAACUUGACGGUAGCCACAGAGGAAGCACAGGCCAACUCCGUGCCAGCAGCCGCGGUAAUACGGGGGGAGCAAGGGUUGUCCGGAAUCAUUGGGGGAAAAGAGUUCGGAGGCGGCACGUAAGUUCUGGUGGUAAAGGCAGAGGUCCAACUUCUGUACGCCACUGUUUACUUCCGAUCUCGAAUGAGGAGAGGUAAAGGGAAUUCCUGGUGUAGCGGUGAAAUGCUUAGAUAUCAGGAGGAACAUCGGUGGCGUAAGCGCUUUACUGGGCCGUAAUUGACGCUGAGGAACGAAAGCCAGGGUAGCAAAUGGGAUUAGAUACCCCAGUAGUC